Molecule: long non-coding RNA, 6494 nt
Organism: Haemorhous mexicanus (house finch)
Lineage: Eukaryota; Metazoa; Chordata; Aves; Passeriformes; Fringillidae
Exons: 4
Source: RefSeq, a predicted model, not a curated record
AUCAGCCCAAGGCCUCUUGUUUGGCUCUCCUGGGAAAGGCUGAGCAGGGGAGCCCAGCAGGUUUGGGCUCACCUGGCUGCCUGGGCAGGGAGAGCCUGCACACAAGUUCUGUGCUCAGUCUUUGUGAGCCUGGCUAUUGAAUUUAUUCAAGGAAAAGGAGCUGCUUCCACUUUGUUUCCAUGACAACAACCCUGAGAAUUUUGUCUUCAUAUAAGCUUGUCUCCUGAGUUACAAGAACCACCAGAUCCCCACAUCAGAGUGCUCCUAGCAAAGGACAUAGAUCAUGAAUAGAAGUAGCACUACAGGAAUUUCACAGCACAGCUGGGACACUUUUCUCAAAAACAAGUGACAAGGCAGAAGAAGGUUUCAUUUUCCAAACAUAAUUGCCUUGCUAUUUUCUGUGGUAUUGCAAGUCUCACAUUACCCCUGAUUUACUCAGGAUUUUACUUCCAGCAACUCUCAAAUAAGAGUGAAGGUUUAGAGGAUUCUCUUUUUAUUGAAGAAAGUGAUUUACGGUCCCACUCUGAAUUUUUUUUAAAGCAUCAAAGAGCAACAGCUCUUCCUGCAGCUGUUACAGAGCAGGCUGAGGUGGGUGCUGUUUGCCCCAGUGAUUUCACUCACUGGGUGACCUGUGGAGCAUGAGCUGCUUGGUCAGGCCACAGAACUGUCCCUGCCACAGUCCUGGGUGCUGUGGAUGCUGGCAGAAGCCAAGGCUGCUGUAUCCUUCAACUCUCUCCUCCCCUCCAGCAGCUGCUGGGGCUCCUGCCACAGCUGCUGGGGCUCUGCAGAGGACCCAGCUGCCCCACACAUGUUGUGAAAGGAACCCAAACCCCACCCUGCAGGCUGAGAGCCCCACCACAGCCAUGGAGCUUCUGCAGGAGCAGACUUGCUGCAGAAGAUCAAGCAGUACAUGAGUCAUUUCCAAACGAUGUCAUUAUUGUAUCCAUCUGCCAAAAUCUAUGUCUGCUCACCAGAGAGUGCUGGCAAGAACAGAUGAAGAACUGGCCAAUUAAUGAACUCUGCACACAUCUGUUGGAAAAAUACUGAAUAUUUUACCACCUGCAUAGCAGAGAAGCAGCUCCAGUGAGGAGCCAACUUCAGCCAUGUGAGCAGCAGCUCCCAAGAGACAAAUCAAUGGAUGGGUGCAAAGCCCCUCUUGGCUUGAAAAUAUUUUUCACAAAUUUAUUUCUUACAAAACUCAGUCUUCUGGUAAGAUCCACAAGCUGCCAUAGGUUUAAGUGUAAUUGUAGAAUAAUAGAUAAAAAAACAAUUUCCCAGACUAAGUAACAGGUGCCCAGGUCUAUACUUGCUUCAAAAAGCUGCUCUGAAGCCAAGAGAGACAAAAAGCAAUACAGAAUUUCCAAAUAUGUUACUUUUCUAUGCCUGCCUGAAAAAACCAGCUCAAUGGACUAUGACAGAACAGAGUUCUCACCUUCCAGAUGAACAAGGCCAUGAAAAGUCUGAAACUUCCCAUGGCACAGUGUGGCAUGCAGGAAGCUAAUGAAACAAGGCAAGAAACCUUUUCUCCUUACACACUUUCUUUCAGAUAAAGAAAAUGCUUUACCCUGCACAGACACACAGUAAAACCUCCAAAACAACUGUGAUCCUAGUUAAAAAAAGUCAGCUGCCAAAUAGUACAGAGGGCAAAUAAAAACUCUUUGGUUAGAGAAUUCCACAGCUUCCAAUAGCUUUAUUUAGAAUUCUAAUCCCUCUAGGCUUCUCUAAUUAAAAUCAGAUGAAUUUCCAAGUGAUGCCAACAUCCCCAACAGCUCAUAUUCCCUGGGAUCUCCAUCAUUUCCCUGAUCUGCCAGUCACCUCUUGGUACCAAUCACAAAAACUCUUCAUCAAGAUUCAUCUCUCCAGGUUCACCUUCAAAAAUUAAGGUCAUUUACUCUCAAAGCUCUUGGCUGCUAUCCUAUAUUAUCCAAAGUUCCUCUUCCACAAAAUUUCUCUGCUCUGGGAUUGAAGAAAAUAGGAACAGGGAGUAAUAGGGGACUACAUGCAAGUUUUUCAUUUUUACACCACAGCCUUUUCAAACCCAGGGCAAGUCCUUUCCUGCAGCACCUGGACAGGCUCAAAUACACAGAAUGCACAAGGAAACAGUCACCCAGAUGUCCACUUCCACACAAACUUCUCUUUUAAGACUCCCAGCAGAUUUAACUGCUUUUCAUUCGGUUUCUUCUCUUAAACACAAGGGAACCCCAGACUGCCUGAUACACUUUUGUUUCUCCUUAAGGAGGCAGUUCCAUUUCAGCAGCAGGAAAAUCUUCACUGCACAUUGUUUGUGAGCUCUUUUCUGAUCCUCCAGCAUGAAAGUCACUACAUGGUAAGCUAUUAAUAAUAACAAUGGGGUGGCUAUUUUAAUUGUGUUUAAGUAUCCGUCACUUACACUGCUCUUAAAAAACCAUGUCUCAAUCAUUUCAGUUAUCAAGGCAAGAUAAAAAUCAAAAUUAUAUUUGGGAAAAUCCAAACCUAGGUACAACAGUCUCACAGACACAAGAUGGUAUUUUCUAGGCUUCAAAGAAAAAGCAAAGGCCAUCCCAGCUCUAGGAAUUCACAUUUAACUGAAUCUCAGGGUGGAGCAGCCACCCUGCAGCCUCUGAAGAGCAGCACAAGAGCACCCAGCCUGCAGUCCCUGUACCACACCGUGUCCUACCAGGUAAAACUGAUGGUGGUGCAGCAGAGGCAGUACCACAGUGAUGCCCUCUAAUAUAACUUUAAAAUAACAUCAAAGUGUUAUUAAUAGGAUUUCAGUGAUUGGGGUCUUGAGCUUGCUCCACAGAAGUUAAUUUCUCCAUAAGAAAACAAGUAGCAUUAAAAAAAAAAGGCAGCAAGACUGCAAAAAGGUAUUUGUGGCUUGCACCCAGCUAAAACCAACAACAUUCACCUUCUGCAGACUACUCAGAUAAACAAUUACCUUGCUCAUCCAUUCCAGUUCAGGUGUCUUUUCUGUGUGUGUUUGGUCUGAAGGCUCCAUGAAGAAUGUUAUUGAUCCUUUUAAUGGGUAAGGACCUCACUAAGUGAUGAACUGUCCACCCACUUUCCCUAAUUAAGAAAAAUCCAAUUACCACACACAAGUGUAGACUGUGAGACUGUAAAUAUCACCCAUCAGUCUCCAGGAGCUGCUACAACUGGCAAUGUGUUCCCAAACCAUCUGCACAGCAAAGGACUCAUUACAAAUGCAAAAUGACUUGACAGCUUCUGAACUGGAUUUCAGGACAGCAACUUGACUGAAAAGCAUCAGCCCUUGGAAACGGUUACAAAGCACCUCCAAAUUACCCACAUUCUCAUCAGGAGAGUGAUGUGCUCAGAGAGGGUUUCCAGAGCCUGAAACAGAGUUCUCUAAGUUCUGUGGAACAGCCAUACAUAUUGAUCUUCUCCCCACAAUCCCCAAGAGAAGAUGAAGUGAGAAAAGCUCCUGCAGAGGUGGAAAUGCAGAACAGCUCUGCAGAACACACAGAACCCAUGGAACUGCCAGAGGGGACCAGGGCAAACAAGGGCUCAUCCUGGAGGUGAUGUGAUGCCACACCUUGGAAACCAGGCCUCCAAAAUGACACUUACAGGGGCAGAAGCCAUGGGAAGGAACAGAUGUGCAACAUAAAAUCAAGAUUUGGGGGAAAAGGCAGGGAUUGCCAGUGCAAUGAGAAAUAUACAAAAAAUCUUGAAAUGAAAAAACAUGCAGUGGAAGAAAAGAUCCUCUUGAAUAAUUAAAGCAAGCCCUCCACUCCUCGCUACAAUGCAAAUCAAACUCAGGGCUCAGAGCAGAACAGGGUUUUAUUUCCUCCCUUACUUCCAUUCCUGAAGUUUUAGAACAUUGCAAUAUGGUGGUAAAAUUAUUCUGCAUUGAUCAAAAGAAUCUGUGGAAGGAGGACUACAGAAAUUUAGAUUGUCCUCCCCAGGAUACAGUGAAUAUGUGUUGCCAUGCCUGUCAUAGAUUACUCUAAGAAAAAUAAGAAAAUCAUUCAAGUCUGCUUUAUUAAAUAGGCAGACUUAAAACUUCUUUUUAAUUUUUUCUUUAAGCAAUUAAAACAGCAUCAAGGAGGAAAAUUACAAUAAAAGGUAAAACAUCCAGUAAGGCAGACAGAGACAGUAAUAGCAAGACUGACAAGCAAAUUUAUAAAUGUGAAAGAUGAUACCAAAGAGACAAUAGGAGUCUUAAGUAGUCAAAAAGAUUCUGAAGACUGGAUAGUAAUAGAAAAAAGGGGUAAGUGGCCAUAUUAAAAAAAAAAAAAAAAAAAAAAAAGGAAGAAAAUGAGAAAAUAACUGUAAAUGCCAGGGCUAAAAGCAAAGGGUAGGAAAAAGGAUACAUCACAAGGGAAUUACAGGUAGAGUUGGGAUAUGGCCUAGAGAACUGCAUUAUAUUUGUACCAAAGUUGGAAACCAGAGUGCCAGGAGGGAGAUCAGGCCUUAGGGAGGGAGAGCUCCACCAGACAGGGGCAGUGUAAGGUUGUUCCUCUAAACAAGGCUACCACAACUGCUGUUACAGUCAAACUGUGUGCAUUCAUACAGAGCAGGGAAGGUCUGGGCAAAGGAAUGCAAAAUAGAAAUAAAAGUCAUUACCUUGUUCUGGCCAGCUGAAGUAAUCAAUGAAAGUUAGAGAAGAAACCUAUAAACUUCCAUACAAAUUUUACAUUAUAACCCUUUUUUGAACAUGAAUAAGUGCCACAAUUUAUACCCCAAACACUGUUUUCCAGUGGUGUGUGAACACACCAUAGGGGUGGGUCAGAUCUUGUGGAAACUCGUGGUACCCAGAGAGAGGAUCCUGUUGACACACACCUGUGACCACUGUGUGACCUCCUAAAAACAUUCACAUCAUGCCAAAUACAAACAUGUUCUGCCUGGUGUUCAUCUCCUAGACCAGGAAUUAGGUGUGCUCUACACACCAUGGGAUUUGUAUAGUAAGACACCCAGCAAGGGAAAACACAAAGUUAAGGAGAGGCAAGAGAAAGAUGCUUCAAACACCAAAUUUCGUGUCUUGAUUUAUUGAUUUAUGUAGUGAACAAAAAGUCAUUCAUCAAUACUCUCUACAUACCCUUUGUCUGCAUAAUUCAGUACUAGCAAAUAUUACCAAUCAAGGUGAUUUAAAUUAAUCUAUAUCUUGCAAUGUUGAUGGCAGAUGCCAUGCUUGUCUUACAAGGGUUGGCUUCAUUUCCUUUGAAAUUUGAACACAAUUCACUUCCUUUGAAUACUACAAGUGCAUUUCAUUGGAGGGAUAAAUUUUAACCAACUGAAAAAAUACCUAUUUAAAAACUACUUGCCCUCUGAUGCCUUAGGUUUGUUUUCAUAUUUUUUGGAUGCUGCACUGCCUUGGUGUGUAGCUCUGAGCUUCAUGCUAGGUGUCAGUAAGUUCUCUUCCCAGGGCAGGUAGACGAAAAAAACCCCUUCCAGCUUGAUACCAAGGACAACCAUUACAGGUUUUGCAGGCCCAAAAGGGGAAAACAACAGAGAACUGAAGAGAGCAACAAGGAGGCUGGAACUGAAUAACCUGAAGCUGCAACUGGACAAUUAACUCCAAUAUGCAAAUGGAGCAGAACUUAUAAAAGUGAGAGACCUUGUGACUGGUCAUGCAUUUUGUGACCAUUUUGGGUUUACCUUGGGUGUAGCCCUGGCUGGGCUCUUGUGCUGCCCAAGGUGGAUCCAUUGAGGCCUCCUAAUUAAUCUCUGCUUUAUUCUUUAGCUCUGUCCAGCCUCUGUCCCAGGUCAGCCUCUCAAGGCAUCGCCUGCACGCAGCACUCAGCCCCCCUACACCUCACCAGGACAGGGGUGGGUGAGGGCCACAGACACAAAAGUCUGGGAGGGUGCAGGCAGUGGAUCAGCCCCUGUGUGCUCCAUCCCCAAACCCCUGCACUCCUCAGGGCACACAGGAUAACAAAUACAAUCAGCUUGACCUGCCUGGGAGUGCCUGCCAGGGAUGAGCUCGGGAGCGUGGCUGGAGGUCAGCGAGACAGGACUGGGAAUUGAUGGCUCCACCAGGCAGCCUGGAGCAGAAUUUAUUUCCUCUGCUGGCAAGCACUAACUGUUCCUUCUGCUGAAGAAAAUAGUCAGUAAUGGAAAUCCUGCCACCACCUUAAUUAUAACAUCUCCAGCUCGGUGCCAGAUUAAUGAGUAGCUGUGGAAUAACAUUUUUAAAGUUUGACUAAUGGUGAUGUAGGUAAUGGCUGAAGCAUGAAGGCAUCUGCACCCAGAAAUGCUCUAGGCUUGGACAAAACUGUCCUAUUACACCUGAAAAUAUGACCAAAAAAACAAAAUUAUGACUUGAGAAUUGGGAAACUGAUUUAAGGCAUUUUAUUUCCUUAUGAUGAUCAGAUAUGGGAAACCACCAACACUUAAAAGAGAAUAUUUGACUUGAAAAAUGCUAAAUACCACAUCUUUCUAAGAAAAUGCAAAUGGACAAUUUAGGGCACCAAUAACCGUGCAUUAAUGUUCUCUAUUUCUGUGCAGACAGUGAAAUAGGGAGGAAGCUUCUGACACAACAUUACAAUUCUAGUUCACUU